This 360-nucleotide ribosomal RNA is filed under the name Triticum aestivum (bread wheat). RNAcentral's name for it is "partial small subunit ribosomal RNA". Lineage: Eukaryota; Viridiplantae; Streptophyta; Magnoliopsida; Poales; Poaceae. The record is from RNAcentral.
AUGAAGAUACCUCUUAAGAAUAUAAUCUUUGCAUGGUAUCUUCGUCGCGGAGUCAUUCUUACUGAAGAUAACCUUAUUAAGAGGAAUUGGCCUGGAAGUCCGCAAUGUGUCUUUUGUCACCAUGAUGAGACAAUAAAACAUUUAUUCUUCCAAUGUAAAUUGGCUCGUUCUAUAUGGUCAGUCAUCCAAAUAGCUUCUGGCUUGUAUCCUCUUUGUAGUGUUGCUAAUGUAUUUGGCUACUGGUUACAUGGGAUUGAUUACAGGUUUAGAACUUUUUUCAGGGUGGGAGCGCUUGCCGUUAUUUGGUCGCUUUGGCUAUGUAGAAAUGAUAAGGUUUUAACAAUAAAAGUACUUCUCUGA